UGGAUUGGUGCCUUCGGGAACUGUGAGACAGGUGCUGCAUGGCUGUCGUCAGCUCGUGUUGUGAAAUGUUGGGUUAAGUCCCGCAACGAGCGCAACCCUUAUCCUUUGUUGCCAGCGGUUAGGCCGGGAACUCAAAGGAGACUGCCAGUGAUAAACUGGAGGAAGGUGGGGAUGACGUCAAGUCAUCAUGGCCCUUACGACCAGGGCUACACACGUGCUACAAUGGCAUAUACAAAGAGAA
RNAcentral lists this ribosomal RNA (241 nucleotides) under Klebsiella pneumoniae subsp. pneumoniae. Its description in RNAcentral is "partial 16S ribosomal RNA". It matches the Rfam family "Bacterial small subunit ribosomal RNA", at positions 1007 to 1248 of the family's 1533-position model. The record is from RNAcentral. Lineage: Bacteria; Pseudomonadati; Pseudomonadota; Gammaproteobacteria; Enterobacterales; Enterobacteriaceae.